This 74-nucleotide transfer RNA is filed under the name Aurantiochytrium limacinum. It matches the Rfam family "tRNA", at positions 5 to 66 of the family's 71-position model. Rfam says of the family: Transfer RNA (tRNA) molecules are approximately 80 nucleotides in length. Lineage: Eukaryota; Bigyra; Thraustochytrida; Thraustochytriidae. The record is from RNAcentral.
UGAUGCCCGAGUGGUCUAAGGGGUCGCAUUCAAGCUGCGAUAUCUUCGGAUGCGCGGGUUCGAACCCCGCUCAG